RNAcentral lists this unclassified non-coding RNA (720 nucleotides) under Hevea brasiliensis (rubber tree). The record is from RNAcentral. Lineage: Eukaryota; Viridiplantae; Streptophyta; Magnoliopsida; Malpighiales; Euphorbiaceae.
AAAAAAAAAAAAAAAUUUAUAUAUAUAUAUAUACUACAUGAAAUUGUUCUACCUUAAAUCUAAUUAUAACACUUGAUUAUGGGUUUUCAAAUAUAUCUCCAGAAAUUAAAAUACAUAACAGAAAACAGAACUCGCUCUUGUUUUCCCAUCUUCAAUCGAUCAAAAAGAGUUGAAAUUAUGUGAAAUUAUAACAAUAUAAUAUAGGAAGUGGAUUUAAGUAGUGAGAUUCACGUUGAAAUCUACUCCUUGCAAAAACCUGGCGCACAUGCGCUGGGCACAUAUGUAAUAACCUUUCUGAAAUUACUGGCAAACGUAGAGAGAAGAGAUCGAGUGCGAGAGGGUACCUACCUUCAUCUGGGUCUGCAGUAGCAUUCGGAGCACCAGAGGCGUGAAGUUGAGAGAAAAAGAUGAAGUAGAUACAACACAACACUGAAGAAGGUUGCAGCAGCUUCGCAAUCGAAUCAAUAAUCCUCUCUGUCUCUGUUUCUGUCCCUCUGCUCUUUACACAAGGGAUAAGACAUCUACUCCUUUGCUUUAAUGGCAAGAUUCCAUCGUCAUCCGUACCUAAUCUCUUUUUAUUUCUAAUUGUAAUUAUUAUUUUCCAAAGUGAGAGGACGAAAGAGCUUAAAAUGCUUUUGUUUCUCAUAAUUAUAUCAAAUUUUUAUUUAUACAUAUAUAGAGCUAAACCUUAAAAAAUAUUGAAAGUCACCUUAUCUGAAA